ACCUGAAUGGCUCAGUCGGUGGAGCGUCUGACUUCGGCUCAGGUCAUGAUCUCAGGGCUCAUGGAUUCGAGGCCCAUGUCAGGCU
This 85-nucleotide transfer RNA is filed under the name Felis catus (domestic cat). It matches the Rfam family "tRNA". From Rfam's summary of the family: Transfer RNA (tRNA) molecules are approximately 80 nucleotides in length. Their secondary structure includes four short double-helical elements and three loops (D, anti-codon, and T loops). Further hydrogen bonds mediate the characteristic L-shaped molecular structure. tRNAs have two regions of fundamental functional importance: the anti-codon, which is responsible for specific mRNA codon recognition, and the 3' end, to which the tRNAs corresponding amino acid is attached (by aminoacyl-tRNA synthetases). tRNAs cope with the degeneracy of the genetic code in two manners: having more than one tRNA (with a specific anti-codon) for a particular amino acid; and 'wobble' base-pairing, i.e. permitting non-standard base-pairing at the 3rd anti-codon position. Lineage: Eukaryota; Metazoa; Chordata; Mammalia; Carnivora; Felidae. The record is from Rfam by way of RNAcentral.